RNAcentral lists this ribosomal RNA (253 nucleotides) under uncultured prokaryote. RNAcentral's name for it is "partial 16S ribosomal RNA". It matches the Rfam family "Bacterial small subunit ribosomal RNA", at positions 524 to 776 of the family's 1533-position model. The record is from RNAcentral.
UACGAAAGGAGCUAGCGUUGUUCGGGAUCACUGGGCGUAAAGCGCACGUAGGCGGAUGUGUCAGUCAGGGGUGAAAUCCCGGAGCUCAACUUCGGAACUGCCUUUGAUACAGCACGUCUUGAGUCCGAUAGAGGUGGGUGGAAUUCCUAGUGUAGAGGUGAAAUUCGUAGAUAUCAGGAGGAACACCGGUGGUGUAGACGGCCUUCUGGACCGUAACUGACGCUGAGACACGAAAGCGUGGGUAGCAAACAGG